UGCAAGUCGAACGGCAGCACGGGGGCAACCCUGGUGGCGAGUGGCGAACGGGUGAGUAAUGCAUCGGAACGUGCCAUUGAGUGGGGGAUAACGUAGCGAAAGUUGCGCUAAUACCGCAUAUUCUGUGAGCAGGAAAGCAGGGGACCGCAAGGCCUUGCGCUCUGGGAGCGGCCGAUGUCGGAUUAGCUAGUUGGUGGGGUAAAGGCCUACCAAGGCGACGAUCCGUAGCGGGUCUGAGAGGAUGAUCCGCCACACUGGGACUGAGACACGGCCCAGACUCCUACGGGAGGCAGCAGUGGGGAAUUUUGGACAAUGGGCGCAAGCCUGAUCCAGCCAUGCCGCGUGAGUGAAGAAGGCCUUCGGGUUGUAAAGCUCUUUCGGCGGGGAAGAAAUUGCACGGGUUAAUACCCUGUGUAGAUGACGGUACCCGAAUAAGAAUCACCGGCUAACUACGUG
This 456-nucleotide ribosomal RNA is filed under the name uncultured bacterium. RNAcentral describes it as "bacterial SSU rRNA". It matches the Rfam family "Bacterial small subunit ribosomal RNA", at positions 56 to 507 of the family's 1533-position model. The record is from RNAcentral.